RNAcentral lists this ribosomal RNA (445 nucleotides) under uncultured bacterium. Its description in RNAcentral is "partial 16S ribosomal RNA". It matches the Rfam family "Bacterial small subunit ribosomal RNA", at positions 354 to 796 of the family's 1533-position model. The record is from RNAcentral.
GUGAGGAAUAUUGGUCAAUGGGCGGGAGCCUGAACCAGCCAAGUCGCGUGAAGGAAGAAGGAUCUAUGGUUCGUAAACUUCUUUUGCAGGGGAAUAAAGUGCGGGACGUGUCCUGUUUUGUAUGUACCCUGAGACUAAGGAUCGACUAACUCCGUGCCAGCAGCCGCGGUAAUACGGAGGAUCCGAGCGUUAUCCGGAUUUAUUGGGUUUAAAGGGUGCGUAGGUGGUUUGAUAAGUCAGCGGUGAAAGUUUGAAGCUUAACUGUAAAAAUGCCGUUGAAACUGUCGGACUUGAGUGUAAAUGAGGUAGGCGGAAUGCGUGGUGUAGCGGUGAAAUGCAUAGAUAUCACGCAGAACUCCGAUUGCGAAGGCAGCUUACUAAGCUACAACUGACACUGAAGCACGAAAGCGUGGGGAUCAAACAGGAUUAGAAACCCGGGUAGUCC